RNAcentral lists this long non-coding RNA (491 nucleotides) under Aquilegia coerulea. RNAcentral describes it as "long non-coding RNA (ACOE_LNC000401)". The record is from RNAcentral. Lineage: Eukaryota; Viridiplantae; Streptophyta; Magnoliopsida; Ranunculales; Ranunculaceae.
ACUCUGAUAAGAUUGUAAACUUUAGGGAAGAUGGAGUACAGAAGAGAAGGGAGUUGGGGAGAGGGAAUCUGGGAGCAGAACAAGAUGGGAAAAUCUGACCAGUGUGCUAGGUUCAUUUUUAUCCUGACUUCAGUUAAACUUGAGUUAAGCAAUAUUAUGGAAUUUUAGUUAAAGAAAAUUUAGAGGGGUCAAACUUAGACUCAGAUCACCCAAAUAACAAACCUGGAGACAGGCAUUUUACUUAAAAAAAAUUCUGAUGAUAUUUUUUGGGUACAGAGGCCUAUAUAGUACUAUCUGUAUAGUGCGUAAAAACUAUAUCAUUUUAGUAGCUUUGUGGUUUUAGUUGCAGGAGAUUUGGUGUAUCCAAAGCAACUCUUUUUGAGUUGUAAGGUUGCGCAUUGGACUAUAAUUUGUCCAUAUAUUGGACUUUGUGAUAAAUGAAUGUAUUGAGAACGCAUUAGGAUCAUCUUGCAUAUUUCACAUGUUUUCUC